GCUGUUCCUAAUAUAAAACAAGGGCAGGCGGAGAUGGAGUGAACCCUAGUUUUCUUCUCUGCAUUAUACUUCCAGUUCGAGAGUUGGUACUUUCAAUUGCCAGUGUCUCUGUUGUUCUUAGCUGGUGAACUUGAGUGCUCCUUCCUGAAACUUUCGCUUCACAUUGCUGAAACGUUUCUGAAUCUCCAAAGUAAUGUCGUCGGACGAUGAAAGGGAGGAGGUGGAGUUGGAUCUCUCCUCUCCGGAUGUUGUUACAAACUACAAAAAUGUUGCCGAGAUCGUAAACGAGGCAAUGCAGCUGGCGAUAUCCGAAUGUAACUUAAUGUUAAAAUCGUUGACAUUUGCGAAGAAGGCGAUUUCUUUUCUCAGAGAGUAGGCUUUAAAAUUAGAUCUUCGAAAUUUAUCCAGCUUGAGCUAAUCGUGUUUUAGCAAGUUCUUUUUUUGUUUGAAUCUGAAGGAAAACUAGCAACAUGUAUAAGAAUGUUCAGAUGAAGAUAGAACGGGCGUUGCCUUUCCAACUUGCAUCUCUGAAACAAAACUGGCGGCCACUUUUCACCCCUAGUUAGCGAUGAAACAGUGAUGGAAGAAGGAAAUAUCCUCAAGAUAUAAUUGAAGCAACUAUAUUGCACUAGUUAUCAGGUAGCUUUGCCGUGGUGAUAUAGAACUUGGGGUUUGCCUCUUUUCCCUGUUGCUUAUUUGUGUAUGUCAAAUUUGAGAUAAAAUAUAAAUUGUCACGAAAAUCUAUUGUGAUCUUAUGAUAGUGGGUGAAGUUUCUAUGGUUAAACAAUCCAUUUCCCCAUAACUGGAUUAUGAAGGCAACUUUGCCGAGGUAAUUUGUGACUUGUGGGUUACCUCUUUUCCCUGUUGCCUGUAUUGUGUAUGGUUAAUUUGGAAUUCUGUAGGUUGACAUUUUAUGUAUGAUGCCUACGGGGUGUCAAUUGUCCAAAUUACAUACGAAAUAUAUUGCCAUGAUAAUCUCUUGUGAUGUCUUAAGAUAGUGGCUAGAGUUUAUAUUAUUAACAAAAAGAUAUGCUUUCCCUCAACUAGAUGAAGGCAACUUUGCCGAGGUAAUUUGUCACUUGUGGGUUACCUCUUUUCCCUGUUGCCUAGAUUGUGUAUGGUUAAUUUGGAACUUUGUAGGUUGACAUCUCAUGGAUGAUGCCUACGGUCCCAAUUGUCCAAAUUAUUAUACAAAAUAUAUUACCAUAAUAAUCUUUUAUGAUGUGUUAUGAUAGUGGCUAGAGUUUAUGUUGUUAAAAAAGAUAUGUUUUCCUCAAACUAGAUGAAGGCAACUUUGCCGAGGUGAUUUGUGACUUGUGGGUUACCUCUUUUCCCUGUUGCCUAGAUUGUGUAUGGUUAAUUUGGGAUUUUGUAGGUUGACAUUCCAUGGAUGAUGCCUAUGGUCUCAAUUGUCCAAAAUACAUACAAAACAUAUUGCCAUGAUAAUCUCUUGUGAUGUCUUAUCGUAGUGGCUAGAGUUUAUAUGCUUAACAAAAGAUAUGUUUUCCCUGUGCUAGAUGAAGGCAACUUUGCCGAGGUGAUUUGUGACUUGUGGGUUACCUCUUUUCCCUGUUGCCUAGAUUGUGUAUGGUUAAUUUGGGGUUUUGUAGGUUGACAUUUCAUGGAUGAUGCCUAUGGUCUCAAUUGUCCAAAAUACAUACAAAACAUAUUGCCAUGAUAAUCUCUUGUGAUGUCUUAUCGUAGUGGCUAGAGUUUAUAUGCUUAACAAAAGAUAUGUUUUCCCUGUGCUAGAUGAAGGCAACUUUGCCGAGGUGAUUUGUGACUUGUGGGUUACCUCUUUUCCCUGUUGCCUAGAUUGUGUAUGGUUAAUUUGGGAUUUUGGAGGUUGACAUUUCAUGGAUGAUGCCUAUGGUCUCAAUUGUCCAAAAUACAUACAAAACAUAUUGCCAUGAUAAUCUCUUGUGAUGUCUUAUAGUAGUGGCUAGAGUUUAUAUGAUUAACAAAGGAUAUGUUUUCCCUGAACUAGAUGAAGGCAACUUUGCCGAGGUAAUUUGUAACUUGUGGGUUACCUCUUUUCCCUGUUGCCUAGAUUGUGUAUGGUUAAUUUGGGAUUUUGUAGGUUGACAUUCCAUGGAUGAUGCCUAUGGUCUCAAUUGUCCAAAAUACAUACAAAACAUAUUGCCAUGAUAAUCUCUUGUGAUGUCUUAUCGUAGUGGCUAGAGUUUAUAUGCUUAACAAAAGAUAUGUUUUCCCUGAACUAGAUGAAGGCAACUUUGCCGAGGUAAUUUGUAACUUGUGGGUUACCUCUUUUCCCUGUUGCCUAGAUUGUGUAUGGUUAAUUUGGGAUUUUGUAGGUUGACAUUCCAUGGAUGAUGCCUAUGGUCUCAAUUGUCCAAAAUACAUACAAAACAUAUUGCCAUGAUAAUCUCUUGUGAUGUCUUAUCGUAGUGGCUAGAGUUUAUAUGCUUAACAAAAGAUAUGUUUUCCCUGAACUAGAUGAAGGCAACUUUGCCGAGGUAAUUUGUAACUUGUGGGUUACCUCUUUUCCCUGUUGCCUAGAUUGUGUAUGGUUAAUUUGGGGUUUUGUAGGUUGACAUUUCAUGGAUGAUGCCUAUGAUAUCAAUUGUCCAAAUUACAUACAAAAUAUAUUGCCAUGAUAGUCUCUUGUGAUGUCUUAUAGAGUUUUAUAUUAUUAACAAAUGAUGUGCUUUCCCAUAACCAAAUAAUGAAGGCAACUUUGCCGAGGUGAUCUGUGACUUGUGGAUUACCUCUUUUCCCUGUUGCCUAUAGUGUGAAUGGUCAAAUUUGGUAUAUCAUAGGCUGAUUUCCAUGGAUGAUGCCUAUGUCCCAAUUGUCCAAAUUGUUGUAAGAUAUACAUUCUGAUGAUAUUCUCCUGUGAUGUCUUAUACUAAUGUGUAGAAUUUCUAUUAUUAAUCAAUAAUCUGUUUCCCCAUAACUUGGAAUCACAUUUAGUAUAAUUUGAAGCCUUUAGACUCACAGUUAUGCUGUUGGAGUUUUGGUUAGUGCUUAAAAUAUCGUUAUGUUGUGUAAAUAUUUGUUUAGUGCUCUUAUUCCUUCAAUUUUGUGGCAAAUAGUGGCUGUCUCUUAUGUUUUCUAUAUCUGCUUGUUUGACCAAGAGCCCUACAUGAUGAUUACUUUAUGGAAGCUAUGGAAUGUAUUCCAAAUGAGGCUUUUGUCAUAGUUACUCUGAUAGGGCAUGCUACUUUUUCAGGCAAUCUAUUGUUUUUUAACCAUCUUUAUUGACAUCAUAAGUUGCUAUCAUAUCUUGUGUAAUGUUAUUGGUCUUGGUUAAUACGUAGUUGAAUGUUUUGUGAUUUAUAAAUGCCUGCUUUCUUGUGGAGUUUUCGUUUUUUCCAUUGAAUACGAGACGGGUUUCUAUUGGUUAAUUGAAUCCUCUUUGGGGCUAGUUGAAUGUGUUAAUCACGAUCUACUGCAAACCUAUCCUGUCCUCUGAAAAUUCUGGUAGCAUUUUUUUGCUCUUUGAAAUUAAUUUUAAUUUUGUUUCAAGUGUAAUUUGUAUGGUUCAUUUGCUCCUCGUGCAAUUGGUUACUUUGCAGGCGAUCACAUUGCCCACAUUAAAUAUACAGUCUUACUAAUGCCUAAUGGAUCUGAUCGAAUUACCUCUCAUGCAAUGCAAGAUGUUUGGCCCACAAAAAGCUGUUGAUGAUCCGGAAAUUAAGACCUGGUCAGCCCACAAAAACUGUCGACUCCAUUGUUAGCAUGCAUGAUGAUUAGAUUAUUGAACCAAGUUUUCUUAACAACUUGGCUGGGGUAAUAAAGGAUUCAACAUCGCAGGAAUGAAUUACUCCUUUUUAUCUGCUUCCUCCUUUCCAUCCUUUCCAUUAUGCCACUGUUUUCUUUUGAUUGUAUGUUUAACAGAGAACUUCAUUCUGUUUCGUU
Molecule: RNA transcript, 3882 nt
Organism: Cucurbita moschata (crookneck pumpkin)
Lineage: Eukaryota; Viridiplantae; Streptophyta; Magnoliopsida; Cucurbitales; Cucurbitaceae
Gene name: ERBB-3 BINDING PROTEIN 1-like
Exons: 3
Source: RefSeq, a predicted model, not a curated record